This 1378-nucleotide ribosomal RNA is filed under the name Streptomyces olivaceus. RNAcentral describes it as "bacterial SSU rRNA". It matches the Rfam family "Bacterial small subunit ribosomal RNA". Lineage: Bacteria; Bacillati; Actinomycetota; Actinomycetes; Kitasatosporales; Streptomycetaceae. The record is from RNAcentral.
UGAGUUUGAUCCUGGCUCAGGACGAACGCUGACGGCGUGCUUAACACAUGCAAGUCGAACGAUGAACCACUUCGGUGGGGAUUAGUGGCGAACGGGUGAGUAACACGUGGGCAAUCUGCCCUGCACUCUGGGACAAGCCCUGGAAACGGGGUCUAAUACCGGAUAUUGACCUUCACGGGCAUCUGUGAGGUUCGAAAGCUCCGGCGGUGCAGGAUGACCCGCGGCCUAUCAGCUUGUUGGUGAGGUAAUGGCUCACCAAGGCGACGACCGGUAGCCGGCCUGAGAGGGCGACCGGCCACACUGGGACUGAGACACGGCCCACACUCCUACGGGAGGCAGCAGUGGGGAAUAUUGCACAAUGGGCGAAAGCCUGAUGCAGCGACGCCGCGUGAGGGAUGACGGCCUUCGGGUUGUAAACCUCUUUCAGCAGGGAAGAAGCGAAAGUGACGGUACCUGCAGAAGAAGCGCCGGCUAACUACGUGCCAGCAGCCGCGGUAAUACGUAGGGCGCAAGCGUUGUCCGGAAUUAUUGGGCGUAAAGAGCUCGUAGGCGGCUUGUCACGUCGGUUGUGAAAGCCCGGGGCUUAACCCCGGGUCUGCAGUCGAUACGGGCAGGCUAGAGUUCGGUAGGGGAGAUCGGAAUUCCUGGUGUAGCGGUGAAAUGCGCAGAUAUCAGGAGGAACACCGGUGGCGAAGGCGGAUCUCUGGGCCGAUACUGACGCUGAGGAGCGAAAGCGUGGGGAGCGAACAGGAUUAGAUACCCUGGUAGUCCACGCCGUAAACGGUGGGCACUAGGUGUGGGCAACAUUCCACGUUGUCCGUGCCGCAGCUAACGCAUUAAGUGCCCCGCCUGGGGAGUACGGCCGCAAGGCUAAAACUCAAAGGAAUUGACGGGGGCCCGCACAAGCGGCGGAGCAUGUGGCUUAAUUCGACGCAACGCGAAGAACCUUACCAAGGCUUGACAUACACCGGAAACGGCCAGAGAUGGUCGCCCCCUUGUGGUCGGUGUACAGGUGGUGCAUGGCUGUCGUCAGCUCGUGUCGUGAGAUGUUGGGUUAAGUCCCGCAACGAGCGCAACCCUUGUCCCGUGUUGCCAGCAAGCCCCUUCGGGGGUGUUGGGGACUCACGGGAGACCGCCGGGGUCAACUCGGAGGAAGGUGGGGACGACGUCAAGUCAUCAUGCCCCUUAUGUCUUGGGCUGCACACGUGCUACAAUGGCCGGUACAAUGAGCUGCGAUACCGCAAGGUGGAGCGAAUCUCAAAAAGCCGGUCUCAGUUCGGAUUGGGGUCUGCAACUCGACCCCAUGAAGUCGGAGUCGCUAGUAAUCGCAGAUCAGCAUUGCUGCGGUGAAUACGUUCCCGGGCCUUGGACACACCGA